Molecule: ribosomal RNA, 1496 nt
Filed under: Mesomycoplasma hyorhinis
Lineage: Bacteria; Bacillati; Mycoplasmatota; Mycoplasmoidales; Metamycoplasmataceae
Description: Mycoplasma hyorhinis 16S ribosomal RNA
Rfam family: Bacterial small subunit ribosomal RNA
Source: RNAcentral
AACGCUCGCUGUGUGCCUAAUACAUGCAUGUUGAACGGGAUGUAGCAAUACAUUCAGUAGCGAAUGGGUGAGUAACACGUACCUAACCUACCUUUAAGACUGGGAUAACUAUUGGAAACAAUAGCUAAUACCGGAUAUAGUUAUUUAUCGCAUGAUGAGUAAUAGAAAGGAGCUUCACAGCUUCACUUAAAAAUGGGGGUGCGGAACAUUAGUUAGUUGGUAGGGUAAUGGCCUACCAAGACGAUGAUGUUUAGCUGGGCCGAGAGGCUGUACGGCCACACUGGGACUGAGAUACGGCCCAGACUCCUACGGGAGGCAGCAGUAAGGAAUUUUCCACAAUGAGCGAAAGCUUGAUGGAGCGACACAGCGUGCAGGAUGAAGUUCUUCGGAAUGUAAACUGCUGUUAUAAGGGAAGAAAAAAUAGAAUAGGAAAUGAUUUUAUCUUGACGGUACCUUAUUAGAAAGCGACGGCAAACUAUGUGCCAGCAGCCGCGGUAAUACAUAGGUCGCAAGCGUUAUCCGGAAUUAUUGGGCGUAAAGCGUCCGUAGGUUUUUUGCUAAGUCUGGAGUUAAAUGCUGAAGCUCAACUUCAGUCCGCUUUGGAUACUGGCAAAAUAGAAUUAUAAAGAGGUUAGCGGAAUUCCUAGUGAAGCGGUGGAAUGCGUAGAUAUUAGGAAGAACACCAAUAGGCGAAGGCAGCUAACUGGUUAUAUAUUGACACUAAGGGACGAAAGCGUGGGGAGCAAACAGGAUUAGAUACCCUGGUAGUCCACGCCGUAAACGAUGAUCAUUAGUUGGUGGAAUAAUUUCACUAACGCAGCUAACGCGUUAAAUGAUCCGCCUGAGUAGUAUGCUCGCAAGAGUGAAACUUAAAGGAAUUGACGGGAACCCGCACAAGCGGUGGAGCAUGUGGUUUAAUUUGAAGAUACGCGUAGAACCUUACCCACUCUUGACAUCUUCUGCAAAGCUAUAGAGAUAUAGUGGAGGUUAACAGAAUGACAGAUGGUGCAUGGUUGUCGUCAGCUCGUGUCGUGAGAUGUUAGGUUAAGUCCUGCAACGAGCGCAACCCUUUUCUUUAGUUACUAAUAUUAAGUUAAGGACUCUAGAGAUACUGCCUGGGUAACCAGGAGGAAGGUGGGGACGACGUCAAAUCAUCAUGCCUCUUACGAGUGGGGCAACACACGUGCUACAAUGGUCGGUACAAAGAGAAGCAAUAUGGUGACAUGGAGCAAAUCUCAAAAAACCGAUCUCAGUUCGGAUUGAAGUCUGCAACUCGACUUCAUGAAGUCGGAAUCGCUAGUAAUCGUAGAUCAGCUACGCUACGGUGAAUACGUUCUCGGGUUUUGUACACACCGCCCGUCGCACCAUGGGAGUUGGUAAUGCCCAAAGUCGGUGAGUUAACUUCGGAGACCAUUGCCUAAGGCAGGACUGAUGACUGGGGUGAAGUCGUAACAAGGUAUCCCUACGAGAACGUGGGGAUGGAACACCUCCUUUCU